ACGUAUUUCUAAUAAUUAUUUCAUUUUUAGUUAAUAUUAGCAAGGGAGACCAUAAGAAUUCUCUUCACAAAGCCACCAUAAAAAAGCUAAGAAACCCCAUAUCGGUUGAGAACUGAGAUACACGCAAUUGGCGACAUUUAAGCACGCAACGUUAACCCCUCGAUGACCGGGACCCAGCACACACUUAUUAUCAUAAUGAACAUCAACGGAGUGGAAAGGACGAUGGAGAGGCAGGAUUGAGCGGUGUAUCCAGGACACGGUUAAGUGGUUUGCCGCAUAAUCGACGGAGAGGCCUCCGAGGUCUGGAGGCGAAACGGAUCGAGGCGUCUGGCGGAGAGAAAUGUUCAUUAAUAUACAAAAGCUCGGGUCAUCCGCAAAGUGUCCAUCACACGAUGGCCAAUGGGGAAAUGCCACGGAGGUCCUGUGAUGAGAAAGUCCUGGACGUCAUGAACGUCCUGUUCGUCCUGGCCACCCAUCGCUCCCCGUUCUCCUUUGUGGGGCCGGCGGUGGCCCAUCAAAAAGCUUUAUCACUCGGAACCACCCCGUUUUUCCACUUUUCCAUCCAUUCGCUCCGUCAGCGAGUUAUUGCCACGGCCUUUUUGGCCCUGCCUCAUGUAAAAGCAAUAAAUAAUGGCCCAGUUUACGGGGUAUGUCUCGUCUAUGGCAUGGAGCGUCAUAAAAAUAUUUUAUCCAUUAGACAUUGCCUCUCUCAUUGGGGGCCUGAGUUGUUGCUUCAGUUUGCUUAAUGGCCAUUAAUAAUUGUUGAAUUAAUGUCAACUGUGGAAUUGGAUCACAGUUCACUUAAAUGCAUAUUGGCUGUGGCCAUGUGGCGUAUACUUAAUUUAGGCUGCCUAAAUUGGGCUAAAUAUCUCAAAACACGUUUUUGAUUUCUUAACAUAGAGCCAUGAGGCCUUAAUAAAUUUGCCAAGUAUCAGCAUCUGCAUCUGCAUCUGCUUCAAAA
This is a non-coding RNA of Drosophila suzukii, 961 nucleotides long. The record is from RefSeq and is a predicted model, not a curated record. NCBI's taxonomy places the organism in Eukaryota, Metazoa, Arthropoda, Insecta, Diptera, Drosophilidae.